RNAcentral lists this ribosomal RNA (497 nucleotides) under uncultured bacterium. Its description in RNAcentral is "partial 16S ribosomal RNA". It matches the Rfam family "Bacterial small subunit ribosomal RNA", at positions 28 to 507 of the family's 1533-position model. The record is from RNAcentral.
GAUGAACGCUGGCGGCGUGCCUAAUACAUGCAAGUCGAGCGAACAGAUGAGGAGCUUGCUCCUCUGACGUUAGCGGCGGACGGGUGAGUAACACGUGGAUAACCUACCUAUAAGACUGGGAUAACUUCGGGAAACCGGAGCUAAUACCGGAUAAUAUAUUGAACCGCAUGGUUCAAUAGUGAAAGACGGUUUUGCUGUCACUUAUAGAUGGAUCCGCGCCGCAUUAGCUAGUUGGUAAGGUAACGGCUUACCAAGGCGACGAUGCGUAGCCGACCUGAGAGGGUGAUCGGCCAAACUGGAACUGGGAAACGGUCCAGACUCCUAAGGGAGGCAGCAGUAGGGAAUCUUCCGCAAUGGGCGAAAGCUUGACGGAGCAACGCCGCGUGAGUGAUGAAGGUCUUCGGAUCGUAAAACUCUGUUAUUAGGGAAGAACAAAUGUGUAAGUAACUAUGCACGUCUUGACGGUACCUAAUCAGAAAGCCACGGCUAACUACGUG